This 253-nucleotide ribosomal RNA is filed under the name uncultured bacterium. RNAcentral's name for it is "partial 16S ribosomal RNA". It matches the Rfam family "Bacterial small subunit ribosomal RNA", at positions 524 to 776 of the family's 1533-position model. The record is from RNAcentral.
UACGUAGGGGGCAAGCGUUGUCCGGAUUUAUUGGGCGUAAAGAGCGUGUAGGCGGCCGUACAGGUCAGCUGUGAAAACUCGAGGCUCAACCUCGAGACGUCGGUUGAAACCGUACGGCUAGAGUCCGGAAGAGGAGAGUGGAAUUCCCGGUGUAGCGGUGAAAUGCGUAGAGAUCGGGAGGAACACCAGUGGCGAAGGCGGCCUUCUGGACCAAUACUGACGCUCAUGCACGAAAGCGUGGGGAGCAAACAGG